RNAcentral lists this ribosomal RNA (505 nucleotides) under uncultured bacterium. RNAcentral describes it as "bacterial SSU rRNA". It matches the Rfam family "Bacterial small subunit ribosomal RNA", at positions 24 to 529 of the family's 1533-position model. The record is from RNAcentral.
UCAGGAUGAACGCUGGCGGCGUGCUUAACACAUGCAAGUCGAGCGAAGCGGAUCUUCGGAAGUUUUCGGAUGGAAGAGGAUUUGACUUAGCGGCGGACGGGUGAGUAACGCGUGGGUAACCUGCCUUACACUGGGGGAUAACAGUUAGAAAUGACUGCUAAUACCGCAUAAGCGCACAGGGCCGCAUGGCCCGGUGUGAAAAACUCCGGUGGUGUAAGAUGGACCCGCGUCUGAUUAGGUAGUUGGCGGGGUAACGGCCCACCAAGCCGACGAUCAGUAGCCGACCUGAGAGGGCGACCGGCCACAUUGGGACUGAGACACGGCCCAAACUCCUACGGGAGGCAGCAGUGGGGAAUAUUGGACAAUGGGCGAAAGCCUGAUCCAGCGACGCCGCGUGAGCGAAGAAGUAUUUCGGUAUGUAAAGCUCUAUCAGCAGGGAAGAAAAUGACGGUACCUGACUAAGAAGCCCCGGCUAACUACGUGCCAGCAGCCGCGGUAAUACGUA